UUAUCCAUAAAGCCGG
RNAcentral lists this ribosomal RNA (16 nucleotides) under Pisolithus albus. RNAcentral describes it as "partial 28S ribosomal RNA". Lineage: Eukaryota; Fungi; Basidiomycota; Agaricomycetes; Boletales; Pisolithaceae. The record is from RNAcentral.